CCUACGGGAGGCUGCAGUGAGGAAUAUUGGUCAAUGGACGAGAGUCUGAACCAGCCAAGUAGCGUGAAGGAUGACUGCCCUAUGGGUUGUAAACUUCUUUUAUCAAGGAAUAAAACGAGGCACGUGUGCCUCUUUGCAUGUACUUUAUGAAUAAGGAUCGGCUAACUCCGUGCCAGCAGCCGCGGUAAUACGGAGGAUCCGAGCGUUAUCCGGAUUUAUUGGGUUUAAAGGGCGCGUAGAUGGGUUGUUAAGUCAGUUGUGAAAGUUUGCGGCUCAACCGUAGAAGUGCAAUUGAUACUGGCAGUCUUGAGUACAGUUGAGGUAGGCGGAAUUCGCGGUGUAGCGGUGAAAUGCUUAGAUAUCACGAAGAACCCCGAUUGCGAAGGCAGCUUACUAAACUGUGACUGACAUUGAUGCUCGAAAGUGUGGGUAUCAAACAGGAUUAGAUACCCCGGUAGUC
RNAcentral lists this ribosomal RNA (460 nucleotides) under uncultured bacterium. RNAcentral's name for it is "partial 16S ribosomal RNA". It matches the Rfam family "Bacterial small subunit ribosomal RNA", at positions 338 to 795 of the family's 1533-position model. The record is from RNAcentral.